RNAcentral lists this ribosomal RNA (1853 nucleotides) under Salmonella enterica subsp. enterica serovar Typhi. Its description in RNAcentral is "partial 23S ribosomal RNA". It matches the Rfam family "Bacterial large subunit ribosomal RNA", at positions 1192 to 2925 of the family's 2925-position model. Lineage: Bacteria; Pseudomonadati; Pseudomonadota; Gammaproteobacteria; Enterobacterales; Enterobacteriaceae. The record is from RNAcentral.
CACCGAAGCUGCGGCAGCGAACGUAUCACCCAAGACAACUUUACGGAGUUGACGAUUGACGGAGCGAAGCGACGUCAAAGCGUUCAUUAAAGUCGAGUUGGCUUAGGGAUACGUUCGUUGGGUAGGGGAGCGUUCUGUAAGCCUGUGAAGGUGUGUCGUGAGGCAUGCUGGAGGUAUCAGAAGUGCGAAUGCUGACAUAAGUAACGAUAAAGCGGGUGAAAAGCCCGCUCGCCGGAAGACCAAGGGUUCCUGUCCAACGUUAAUCGGGGCAGGGUGAGUCGACCCCUAAGGCGAGGCCGAAAGGCGUAGUCGAUGGGAAACGGGUUAAUAUUCCCGUACUUGGUGUUACUGCGAAGGGGGGACGGAGAAGGCUAUGUUGGCCGGGCGACGGUUGUCCCGGUUUAAGCGUGUAGGUGUGUGUUCCAGGUAAAUCCGGUUCACUUUAACACUGAGGCGUGACGACGAGGCACUACGGUGCUGAAGCAACAAAUGCCCUGCUUCCAGGAAAAGCCUCUAAGCAUCAGGUAACACGAAAUCGUACCCCAAACCGACACAGGUGGUCAGGUAGAGAAUACCAAGGCGCUUGAGAGAACUCGGGUGAAGGAACUAGGCAAAAUGGUGCCGUAACUUCGGGAGAAGGCACGCUGACACGUAGGUGAAGUGAUUUACUCAUGGAGCUGAAGUCAGUCGAAGAUACCAGCUGGCUGCAACUGUUUAUUAAAAACACAGCACUGUGCAAACACGAAAGUGGACGUAUACGGUGUGACGCCUGCCCGGUGCCGGAAGGUUAAUUGAUGGGGUCAGCGCAAGCGAAGCUCCUGAUCGAAGCCCCGGUAAACGGCGGCCGUAACUAUAACGGUCCUAAGGUAGCGAAAUUCCUUGUCGGGUAAGUUCCGACCUGCACGAAUGGCGUAAUGAUGGCCAGGCUGUCUCCACCCGAGACUCAGUGAAAUUGAACUCGCUGUGAAGAUGCAGUGUACCCGCGGCAAGACGGAAAGACCCCGUGAACCUUUACUAUAGCUUGACACUGAACAUUGAGCCUUGAUGUGUAGGAUAGGUGGGAGGCUUUGAAGUGUGGACGCCAGUCUGCAUGGAGCCGACCUUGAAAUACCACCCUUUAAUGUUUGAUGUUCUAACGUGGACCCGUAAUCCGGGUUGCGGACAGUGUCUGGUGGGUAGUUUGACUGGGGCGGUCUCCUCCUAAAGAGUAACGGAGGAGCACGAAGGUUGGCUAAUCCUGGUCGGACAUCAGGAGGUUAGUGCAAUGGCAUAAGCCAGCUUGACUGCGAGCGUGACGGCGCGAGCAGGUGCGAAAGCAGGUCAUAGUGAUCCGGUGGUUCUGAAUGGAAGGGCCAUCGCUCAACGGAUAAAAGGUACUCCGGGGAUAACAGGCUGAUACCGCCCAAGAGUUCAUAUCGACGGCGGUGUUUGGCACCUCGAUGUCGGCUCAUCACAUCCUGGGGCUGAAGUAGGUCCCAAGGGUAUGGCUGUUCGCCAUUUAAAGUGGUACGCGAGCUGGGUUUAGAACGUCGUGAGACAGUUCGGUCCCUAUCUGCCGUGGGCGCUGGAGAACUGAGGGGGGCUGCUCCUAGUACGAGAGGACCGGAGUGGACGCAUCACUGGUGUUCGGGUUGUCAUGCCAAUGGCACUGCCCGGUAGCUAAAUGCGGAAGAGAUAAGUGCUGAAAGCAUCUAAGCACGAAACUUGCCCCGAGAUGAGUUCUCCCUGAGACUUAGAGUCUCCUGAAGGAACGUUGAAGACGACGACGUUGAUAGGCCGGGUGUGUAAGCGCAGCGAUGCGUUGAGCUAACCGGUACUAAUGAACCGUGAGGCUUAACCUUACAACGCCGAAG